RNAcentral lists this unclassified non-coding RNA (161 nucleotides) under uncultured Xylariales. RNAcentral describes it as "sequence contains ITS2". Lineage: Eukaryota; Fungi; Ascomycota; Sordariomycetes; Xylariales. The record is from RNAcentral.
CAACCCUUAAGCCCUGUUGCUUAGCGUUGGGAGCCCGCUGGCCUCUGGCCCGCAGCCCCUCAAAGUUAGUGGCGGAGUUAGUGUAUACUCUAGGCGUAGUAAUUUUCAUCUCGCUUCUGUGGUUACGCUGGCGCCUGCCGUAAAACACCCAAUUUUUCAAU